Molecule: long non-coding RNA, 2612 nt
Organism: Oncorhynchus kisutch (coho salmon)
Lineage: Eukaryota; Metazoa; Chordata; Actinopteri; Salmoniformes; Salmonidae
Exons: 2
Source: RefSeq, a predicted model, not a curated record
UACUGGACAAACCCUCCCUAACCCGGACGACGCUAGGUCAAUUGUGCGUCGCCCGGCUGCGACAAAGCCUGGGCUCGAACCCAGAGUCUCUGGUGGCACACAGCUAAUACAUUUCAAGCCUAUAAAAUUGACCAUGACCCACAACCCUCAAAUGUUUGAAUUAAGCAGUUAGCCCCAAGGAGGUGUGGUAUAUUGGCCAUAUACCGCAAACCCCCGAGGUGUCUUAUUGCUAUUAUUAACUGGUUACCAACAUAAUUAGAACAGUAAACAAGUAAUUUUGUGUCAUACACGUGGUAUAUUUAAGCAAAAAGGCCCAGGGGUGUGUAGUAUAUGGAUAAUAUACCACAGCUAAGGGCUGUUCUUACGCAGUGCCGUGGUAUAUUGGCCAUAUACUACAAGAUCCUUAUGGCUAUUAUAAACUGGUUACCAACGUAAUCAGCACUAAAAUCAGUUUUGUCAAACAUGUAGUAUACAUUCUGAUAUACCACGGCUGUCAGCCAGUCAGCAUUCAGGGCUCGAACCACCCAGUUUAUAAUGUCUAAUAUACCAUGGCCUUCAGCAUCUAGGACCCAAACUACCUGGUUUAUAAUAUAAAAUAUAUGCAAUUUAACAGACGCUUUUAUCUACAGCGACUCAACGUGCUUAUGCUCCCGGGAAUCUAAUCACCCAUUCUGGUGUUGCAAGUGCCAUGCUCUACCAACUGAGCAACAAAGGACCACACUCUCUCAUCAAGCUCCUUACUUAGUCUCAAUACUUGAGCAGUCUAUUCUAGGCUCAACCUUUCUUUAUACGUCCUCAUUCUCAGCUGUCCAGUCUUCUCGUGUUAUCAACACUGUGUUCUCUCUGUCAGAUAGAAGGAAUGAUGGCUGGACACCUUACCACUGUUCUGCUGUGUAACCUGAUUCUCCUUUGCAUUUCAAGGACUGCACUAUCUUUAGGAUGUCCAUGCAUCUGUUGUGACACAAAGGUCGCUGAAAACUCACGCAACUCACAUCUCAGUGUUUGUCUUUGUCCUUGGCAUUGCUGUUAACGCUCUGAUGCUAUUGGGCUUGUGCUAUUCCCAUACUGUAGAUGUUUUAACAGAACAAACUGUCAUCGAAAUGUGUUGCACUAUAAAUGUAACUGAUUGUUGGUUUUAGAAUGAUUUUGAAAGCUGAGUUUAAAGUGAAGGUUGCAAGAAAGGUUGUUGUUUGUCACUUGCAUUUCUGUGUAAACCCAAUACAAUGGUGAACCUCCUUGUACAGUAAAGUAGCUAUCUACAUUUGUUCAUUGACUGGCAAAUUGUUUACUCUGUCACCUCGCAGAUAUUGAAUAUUAGACAGUUUUGCCGAAUUUUGUCACACUUAGUUUUUUAUUUGUGGGGUAACUGAAAACUCCCUUUGGAACUGCUGGCUGUUUUAAAGUGUUGUACUACAGUAUGGCUUACUAACAAUUAACAGGAUAACAGACGUGUCCUGUUUGGACUCAGGCAGUUACGGUGUAGUAUUAACCUUAUCUGUAUCAGAUGUAGAAGGUGUUUCUUACAACCUUCAUUUUAAACUCAGCUUUCAAAAUCAUUCUAAAACCAACAAUCAGUUACAUUUAUAGUGCAACACAUUUCGAUGACAGUUUGUUCUGUUAAAGCAUCUACAGUAUGGGAUGGGACUCUCCUCCAUGUGACUCACAGAUGCAGGUCCAGCCUCUUGCAUUGGGAGACCUCCUGUCAGGGACUCCAAACAUGACCACACACAAGAGAUGCUAAUUCAUUUUGCUUUCCAAGUUCCUUCUACAUCUGUACAUCAGCUCAUUUCAAGUUCCUUCUACAUCUGUACAUCAGCUCAUUUCAAGUUCCUUCUACAUCUGUACAUCAGCUCAUUUCAAGUUCCUUCUACAUCUGUACAUCAGCUCAUUUCAAGUUCCUUCUACAUCUGUACAUUUCUAAAUAUUCUAUCUGAUUGUUGUCUCCAUGUCUUCUAAACUUUAGUUUGGACCCUUAUAAAUGUACUUUGUGUAACCGAAUACAGUUCAGGUACCGUUAACAGUUUUUAAUGGGUUGGCCUCUAAGUAGCCUAUGUAAAACAAGUGCUCUUGUUUAGAUAAUUUUUUUUAAAUAAAAAAAAUGUAUUACUUUUUAUUUUCUUUAUCCAAGCAUUUCUCCAUAUAAUUGGUAUGUUUUUCCUCUGUUCAAGCUGUUGCACUACUUUGCUCCUUUCUAUUUGCUGUAUGACUUUCCUCUAUCAAUAAUGCUUCUGUUUGAUAUACUGUAUGCAUUCAUCAUCAUUUAAAAAUAUAUAUUAUUUUGUAUUUAACUAGGCAAGUCAGUUAAGAACAGAUUAUUAUUUACAAUGAUGGCCUACACUGGCCAAACCCGGACAACACUGGACCAAUUGUGUACCGCACUAUGGGACUCCCAAUCACAGCCGGUUGUGGUACAGCUUGGAUUUGGAACCAGGGUUUCUGUAGUGACGCCUCUAGCACUGAGAUGCAGUGUCUUCGACCACGGGAUUAGUUGACCUGAAAGGUCUUUAAGUGAAGUUAGCACUGUACUCUGGAACCUGUCGUGUUGUAGGGCCUUCAAAGACCCGAACUGACUAUAGCCAUGGCUGUAAUAAAAAUACAUGUAUUGUACAAGA